This is a non-coding RNA of Triticum aestivum (bread wheat), 114 nucleotides long. Lineage: Eukaryota; Viridiplantae; Streptophyta; Magnoliopsida; Poales; Poaceae. The record is from Rfam.
CUUCUACUUCCUCCGUUUGAAAUUACUUGUCACAGAAAUGGAUGUAUCUAGAUGUAUUUUAAUUCUAGAUACAUCUAUAUUCGAGACAAUAAUUCCGAACGGAGGGAGUAGCUA